This is a long non-coding RNA of Odontomachus brunneus, 1681 nucleotides long. RefSeq lists it as uncharacterized. NCBI's taxonomy places the organism in Eukaryota, Metazoa, Arthropoda, Insecta, Hymenoptera, Formicidae. The record is from RefSeq and is a predicted model, not a curated record. The transcript is spliced from 4 exons.
GUGUCGGGAGCAGCAGCUCGAGCGAAUCUCGGGUCUGGCUUUGAGCGAUCCGCUCGACUUAAGUUAGUAACUUACGUCUAGACAGCAUACGACAAACAUUGACAUUCUCGCAGUAUGUUUCAUACCUAUGUGUGUGUGGUGUGCGGAACCUGGAACUAGUGCGCCGUGCCCGCGGUAUUCUUCACCGCCUCACGUGUAACAAUGAACGAAAAGACUAUGGAUGACACAUGGCCGUCAAUAAUUACCGACGCAAUGUUGGGUCUGUAUCGAGGAUAGGAAGGAGAGUGACGCAGAGAGGACCGGAACUCGGUCGGAGUAACUUGGAGAACUUGGACUUUUGUGCGAGCUGUCACAUGUAAUUAUUCUGCACUGAGAGAAAAAGUUUCUAAAAAAUAAAAACACAUUUAUUCGUGUACGGCAACUUGUAUAACAAUCAAAACGUAAUUAAGGAGAAACGUUUAACUAAAGGAGUGAAUCUCGAGUCACGGUGUGAACCCGUAAAAAUUCAGAUUAAAAGAGAGACGAGGAAAGAAAGAGCAGAAUUUCUUUUGUAACAGAGAAAGAAAAAUAAAAGAAAACGAGUUCUCGUCGACGAAACUCCCAGUCGAUGAAACGAAGACGAGUCACCCUCCCGCACGCACAGAAACCAAGAAAGAAGGAUGCAUUGCGAAGAGAACAUUCUCCUGGCUGCGAAUAUGUACACAGCGAUACGGGAACACGCUGCGCUGCUUGGCCAUCCAUAGCGUAGCCAAGUCCUUGAACGACGGCACCAUCGGGUUGUAGCCGCAAUUCCGCUGCAGGCUCUUGUGUCCGAUCAGGCGCGACGGCAUUAACGGGUCUGCAAGCGAGAGCAAGAAGAAAACGGGGAAUAUUAGUUGUGGAAAGAGAAGCGGCAGGGCUGUGAAGAUUUAGGAAAAUAACAGAAAUUACGGACGCAGCAAGAUAGGGGAUGCGUUUUAUCGUCGAAUUAACGACUCGUCGAGAACGAACUGACGAGAAAUUAUCCGGAGAUCUGCACCAAUCAUGAAGUCACGAUUGAGAAUGAAUCUUUCCAAUGACUCCCUGCGGAUUUAUACAAUAGAAAAAUGUGCGAGGAUAUAAAAGACGUGUGUUACACCGAUGAUCCUCCUCCUCUUUCGUUCGGCUUUUGCCACGAGCUGCGAAUUUCCAUUACCGUUGUCCGAUCGGGACAAUUAUCCUCGACAUGCCUGCUGAUCCCGACAACGGCACUCAUCGUGCCGUGACGCGACAUGGGUGUAGUUUCAUAGGCAAGUCUCUUUGAUUAUACAAUAAUUAUACUCUCGCGUUGUGAUCUGCGCUCUUACUUGCCCUAUUUUAUUGGUAAUCUCUUUGCUCGGAAUCCACAAACGAAUCAUGCGGGAUCGGACGAGAGCAGACCGUCGAAAUGAGGGACUCGGGAUAUCGCAGCGUAUCAAGUGAUGAAACAGUGCAGCCGAACAACGUUCUUACCGGUCCUCCUAUCCCCGUUCUAAGCGUAGCAAUCGAUGCCAGAAGAGAGGAGGGCUUGACAGACCUAAAAUUGAAUGCACAAUCAGAAUAAUUGAAAGAAUUACCUAGAAAUCACGCGGACCACUGAAACAAAUAAGAAUCGAACACUUCUCAUCAGAUGCUGGACUGUCAUGAACACGCAGACUCGCUUUAGAUGUAGAUAAUCUUUGUC